GCCCGUUGGUCAAGUGGUUAAGACACCGCCCUUUCACGGCGGUAACAUGGGUUCAAAUCCCGUACGGGU
This 69-nucleotide transfer RNA is filed under the name Lactobacillus delbrueckii subsp. bulgaricus. RNAcentral describes it as "tRNA-Glu". It matches the Rfam family "tRNA". From Rfam's summary of the family: Transfer RNA (tRNA) molecules are approximately 80 nucleotides in length. The record is from RNAcentral. Lineage: Bacteria; Bacillati; Bacillota; Bacilli; Lactobacillales; Lactobacillaceae.